RNAcentral lists this long non-coding RNA (396 nucleotides) under Heterocephalus glaber (naked mole-rat). RNAcentral's name for it is "lncRNA (ENSHGLG00000036917.1)". The record is from RNAcentral. Lineage: Eukaryota; Metazoa; Chordata; Mammalia; Rodentia; Bathyergidae.
CUAAUUCAAAUAGUUGCUUUGGGUACAAUUACAAUUUUUAUGUGAUACAUAUUUAUAUUUAUUUCAGACAAACCAGGUUACAUUAUGCUGAAGUUUUAAAGCUGAUAUAAGGAUUGAAUUUAAAAGGGAUUGAUUGCCCAAUGAUCAAUUCAUUCAAUUAUAUUACUAAGUAAUGAAGAUUACCUAUCUUGGAACAAAAGGACAAUGUUUUUGAUCUUCAUAUUCCAAAGUGUGCAAAAGACUAGAAUUUCAGAUGUAAAAGAGGCUGCCUUUAGGAGUGACAUACAAUUAAAGGGAGAAUGCAAUUGCUGAUAUCUAACACUGAAACUAUAUAGAAAAGGUGAAGAGAGAAGACACCACAACUGUUCUUCAUGACUAUUUGGAGUUGAAAUUAUA